GAACUGCGAUAAGUGAUGUGAAUUGCAGAACUUCGUGAAUCAUCUAAUUCUUGAACGCACAUUGCACUCCUUGGACCUCCUUGGAGUACGCUUGUUUGAGUGUCGGCUCUUUUCUCAUCGACUAUAUUCAUAUAGUUGCAUGGACUUUGUGGGUGUCAUCGUGAGUUGACUCUCAUGAAAAUCAACGAGUGGAAUCAAUCUUGCACUCAACAUCGAUAUCAGUGAACCCUUCAUUGGGUAUCUCACACGGAUACCGAUGGCUUGUAUUGACCACCCUUGAAAGUGAAUUUUCAAUUCAUUACCCCGACCUCAAAUCAAGUGGGAUUACCCGCCGAAUUUAA
RNAcentral lists this unclassified non-coding RNA (341 nucleotides) under uncultured fungus. Its description in RNAcentral is "sequence contains ITS1". The stretch from base 1 to 105 matches the Rfam family "5.8S ribosomal RNA", at positions 50 to 154 of the family's 154-position model. The record is from RNAcentral. Lineage: Eukaryota; Fungi.